Molecule: long non-coding RNA, 1458 nt
Organism: Papaver somniferum (opium poppy)
Lineage: Eukaryota; Viridiplantae; Streptophyta; Magnoliopsida; Ranunculales; Papaveraceae
Exons: 3
Source: RefSeq, a predicted model, not a curated record
ACAUCACUUUUAUAAUUCCACAUUUAACCUUUUUAUCUUUCUUCCUUUCUUUUCGUUCUUUCUUAUCUCGAUCUCAAAUUCGAGAGAGAAACAAAAACCCCCUACCGGUGCCUGCACCACUACCAACAGCUUCACCAGCUCCGCCUCCUCCGUUCAAAUAUAUCAUUAGAUCCGGCACCACCUCCUAGUCCACCGUUUCUACAAUUCUUUCAUCACCUCUAUCACUACAUCUUAUAUUUUCAGCCAAAUCCACCACUAUCACCUCUUAAACAAUUGGUUUUGAUUGAUUUCACCAGAUUCAAUUACAAAACUCAAAUUUAGUGAUGAAUCAAAUAGAAACUAAUCUCCUUAACUUGAUCUCGAGCACCAGAUUCGUUAAUUUCUCCGAUUUUCAAUUGAAUUGUGCAUGAUUUCAUUUUUAAACCCUAAUUUUGGGUUUCAAAUUUCUAUUUUUUUAGAUGAUUAUGAUGACGACGGUGGUGGUGGUGGCGGAAAAUUAUGCUCUAAUGAUGAUGGUGGCGGCGGCGACAGCGGCGGUGGAAGAGGAUAUCGAAUUUAUGUUCUAUUAGUUGACGAUGGUGGAGAAUAGUCACGUUAAUGCAUUGAAAGAGUCAAAAAGCAGUAGAUAAUGGUACUGGUACUUCAAAUUGCUUGUUAAGAGAUCAAAUUCCAGGCUGGUGUGGUGUUAUGGUGGAUUGUGUUGGAUGGUUAGUAUGAACAGUGGUGGGUGGUGGAUAUUGCUGGUGGUGGGAGCUCUGUAAGUGUAGAUUAUAUACUUGGUUAAUGUUAGUUCUGUUUUCUUUUUGAUUAGUUGGGACUUGAGAACUAGUGAUAAGAGCAUAAAUCUAGUGAAAAGGCUUGAGAUGAUAAUUGGACUUGAUUUUUAUUACGGUGGUGUGUGGUGGUGGGGCAGUAGUAUGUGUGGUGGUGGAGUAGUAGCAUGUGUGGUGGUGGGGGGUGGUUGGUGUUGUGUUUUUGGUAGUGCUAAUUGGAUUAUAGUUCCUUUUUUGUUUGAUUUUAAAUGGUGAUGGAAGAGGUAGAAUGUAGUGGAUUGCAAGUAAUACUAACAGUUCCUGUGUAUAUGCAUUUUUCUGUAAUGGUAAUUGGCAGAGUGGGAAGACCAAUAGGAAACUAAUAAAGUUGCGCAGCAGUGGGAAGAUAUGGAUUGUAGUUGGAUCAAAUGAGACGGGAAUGUUUACGAAUGAAGAGAGUGAAACCCAGGUACAUGAUGAGCUUGCAGGUGAUAUAGGGAGUAAAUUUGUGUUUCCACCACAAUAUAGUUAUCCUCGGCUAGUCCACAGGUAUAUCUAACUUUUGUACUCUUAUUCAAUUAGAAAUGUUGUAUAUGAUCACAUUUAGAGGUAAAAUUAAUGAUGUAUGUUGUACUUUCUGAUUUAGUAGAAUCUCAAGGCAUAGUUUUGGAAGUUACGAGUAUAAGACUACUAUAUCUUUUACUUA